CUAUAAUUAAACUAGGUGUAGAUAACUAUGUGAAAACAACUCACUAAGAAAGAAUAACUAUUGAAAGUUUCCACAGACUUGUAAGCAUAUUUCUUUGCUCAUCACCUCAAACAGAUAGUUUAGAUACAAGAAAUUUUAAAACAUCUCUGGAUAAAAGCUAGUGGGUGGUAUUAUCAUUCAGGAUCAAUUCCAUUCCAGUUUGUCGUCCUAUGGUAAGCAUUUAUUUUCUUAGCUGGUUGUUGGAUUAUGGUGCAAAAUUGAGAUCUAUUAUUUCUCCAAUGCUUAAGCCAACAAAUCACAAAAAUAAAUUAGAAUUUCUCCAGUAGAUGCAAUUCACUUAACUUCUCUAUCAUUUAGUUAUAAGCAUACCUGGCCAGCUGAUGGUUCCAAGUCGCCUGUGAGCACGGAAAUAGUAGUGCUUUUUCCAGCACCAUUUGGGCCCAAUAAUCCCAGAACUUCACCUGAAAAAAAUGUACAAAUCUAGAAUCUGAAGCCUUUUGUGCAAUGUAAACUUCUACUGCAGUGAUUUUCAUUUCAUUUUGAAUACAGUUUGUGUCAGUGCAAUGUAUUGAGAAGGAUGAUCAAAGAAAUCCUUUUGAAUAUUCCACCUGCAGUUUGCACAGAUUUAAGACUAUCAGCAGGUGUUUUAGGUGUUCCUAGUGUACUGUUAAAAUGCAAAGAUGCCAGAAAGCUGACUAUGCUCUUCAUGAUUAUAGUUGGGAAAACCCAUCGCUACUUUCAGGAAAUGGAACACUUCAGUACUGACAUCCAAGAUGUGGUUACAGGCUGCAAAUGGUGUUGUAACGGAGUUCACUUGCUUUAACUUACAAUAACUGAAGAGAUCAGAAAAAAGUCCCGAGAAGUCUGCAUUCGAUCAAAUCUGAAGGAAUAGGCGUAGGAGAACAGCGUCAUUGCUGGGGCCCAGCCAAUAAGACAUAGCAUCUGCAGAAAAAGAGAGAAAGUGAAGAAGGAACAAUAUAUAUCCUCUUAAUGUCACCUACUGAGUAUUAUUAAUCUACAUAGCUGUCCAUCUCUUUAAAGCCAUUUCUUUCUGAAUAUAUUUAAUUUAUUCCAGAGUGAAGCACCUGAAGAUGGUUGAGCCUAUGAAUUCCUGCAGCAAUAUCCUGGGACUGUUGUUUGGCUUCCAAAACAAUAACUGUGUUCGUUUUUGCUAGCACCAGUAUGAAGCAAAGAUGUGGAAUUAAAUGCAAUCACACAGCCAAGCAUGAUUACAACUAUGCCAAAAUAAACUGGAAUAUCCACCAAAGCAUAACCACACCAGUAUGCAGAAGGAAAGAGGCC
Chiloscyllium plagiosum (whitespotted bambooshark) is the source of this 1302-nucleotide long non-coding RNA. RefSeq lists it as uncharacterized. The record is from RefSeq and is a predicted model, not a curated record. NCBI's taxonomy places the organism in Eukaryota, Metazoa, Chordata, Chondrichthyes, Orectolobiformes, Hemiscylliidae.